This 468-nucleotide ribosomal RNA is filed under the name uncultured bacterium. RNAcentral describes it as "partial 16S ribosomal RNA". It matches the Rfam family "Bacterial small subunit ribosomal RNA", at positions 28 to 507 of the family's 1533-position model. The record is from RNAcentral.
GACGAACGCUGGCGGCGUGCUUAACACAUGCAAGUCGAACGGAAAGGCCCUGCUUUUGUGGGGUGCUCGAGUGGCGAACGGGUGAGUAACACGUGAGUAACCUGCCCUUGACUUUGGGAUAACUUCAGGAAACUGGGGCUAAUACCGGAUAGGAGCUCCUGCUGCAUGGUGGGGGUUGGAAAGUUUCGGCGGUUGGGGAUGGACUCGCGGCUUAUCAGCUUGUUGGUGGGGUAGUGGCUUACCAAGGCUUUGACGGGUAGCCGGCCUGAGAGGGUGACCGGCCACAUUGGGACUGAGAUACGGCCCAGACUCCUACGGGAGGCAGCAGUGGGGAAUAUUGCGCAAUGGGCGGAAGCCUGAUGCAGCAGCGCCGCGUGCGGGAUGACGGCCUUCGGGUUGUAAACCGCUUUCGCCUGUGACGAAGCGUGAGUGACGGUAAUGGGUAAAGAAGCACCGGCUAACUACGUG